GGAGCAGACCAUGCGGUCGCCCCGGUGUUUGCGGCAACACACCGCUGCCGGGGAGGAAAGUCCGAGCUCCGCAUGGGCAGGACGGCUGCUAACGGCAGCCGGGGGCAACCCCAGGGAAAGUGCAACAGAAAUCAUACCGCCGCACGGUCACGCUGUGAGGUAAGGGUGAAAUGGUGAGGUAAGAGCUCACCGCCUCCUGUGGCAACACAGAAGGCAGGUAAACCCCGUCCGGAGAAAGGUUGAAUAGGGCUUGCUUUUCGGGCUGCCCGCCCGAUUCCUUAGCGUUUAAAGCGAGGCAGGCCGGGUACCAACCGCACAAGGCAGCAGAGCGAUCUCUGUCUCAGAUGAAUGGCCGCGCAACACAGAACUCGGCUUACGGUCUGCUCUUAUU
RNAcentral lists this RNase P RNA (391 nucleotides) under Nitrospirota bacterium. RNAcentral describes it as "Nitrospirae bacterium (sediment metagenome) RNase P RNA component class A". It matches the Rfam family "Bacterial RNase P class A". Rfam says of the family: Ribonuclease P (RNase P) is a ubiquitous endoribonuclease, found in archaea, bacteria and eukarya as well as chloroplasts and mitochondria. Its best characterised activity is the generation of mature 5'-ends of tRNAs by cleaving the 5'-leader elements of precursor-tRNAs. Lineage: Bacteria; Pseudomonadati; Nitrospirota. The record is from RNAcentral.